RNAcentral lists this ribosomal RNA (491 nucleotides) under uncultured bacterium. Its description in RNAcentral is "partial 16S ribosomal RNA". It matches the Rfam family "Bacterial small subunit ribosomal RNA", at positions 29 to 506 of the family's 1533-position model. The record is from RNAcentral.
AGUGAACGCUGGCGGUAGGCCUAACACAUGCAAGUCGAACGGCAGCACAGUAAGAGCUUGCUCUUACGGGUGGCGAGUGGCGGACGGGUGAGGAAUACAUCGGAAUCUACUUUUUCGUGGGGGAUAACGUAGGGAAACUUACGCUAAUACCGCAUACGACCUACGGGUGAAAGCAGGGGAUCUUCGGACCUUGCGCGAUUGAAUGAGCCGAUGUCGGAUUAGCUAGUUGGCGGGGUAAAGGCCCACCAAGGCGACGAUCCGUAGCUGGUCUGAGAGGAUGAUCAGCCACACUGGAACUGAGACACGGUCCAGACUCCUACGGGAGGCAGCAUUGGGGAAUAUUGGACAAUGGGCGCGAGCCUGAUCCAGCCAUACCGCGUGGGUGAAGAAGGCCUUCGGGUUGUAAAGCCCUUUUGUUGGGAAAGAAAAGCAGCAGGUUAAGACCCCGCUGUUCUGACGGUACCCAAAGAAUAAGCACCGGCUAACUUCGU